Molecule: long non-coding RNA, 1649 nt
Organism: Schistocerca nitens (vagrant locust)
Lineage: Eukaryota; Metazoa; Arthropoda; Insecta; Orthoptera; Acrididae
Exons: 2
Source: RefSeq, a predicted model, not a curated record
ACUUUUUCUCUCUCUACCUCUCCUUCUGCCUCUAGCCCCUCACUUCACAUCUGUCUAUUAACCCCAAUCAAAGAAUGUAAUGUAUGUAUGAUUUUACUGUUGUAGCCAAUAUGAUCAUUGUAAUUAUAGUCUGUAACAUUUCACCUAAUUGUUAUCAAUAAGAAUGAAGUUUAAGCCAUUUUAACAUUUCACCUGAUUGUAUAAACGAGUACGAAUGUUUGCUGUUCUAACUUGUCAGAAUUGGAUUUAUAUACGACCUGAAGUACACACACAUAUAUUUGACCCCUCAAAACAAACACCGCCAAAUGCUUAAAGCAAUUAUUCUGUAAUAAUAUUGUUAUGAUGUAUAUUCUUUGCACUUUGCGAGUAUGUCUUCACUUCUGUUAUACGAACUUUGCACCCAGCUGAUUCCAGACGCCAUAUUUGUUUACAAAUGUGGCAGUAUACAUGUGAUGUGUUACGACAGCAAAAGGAACCUGUGAUCACUGAAGUGUCAUGGACCAGCAGGAACUUCCUUUUGGCCUCAAAAAGAAGAAAGAUGUCCUGUUCCACUCACCCAUCUUCUAUGUGUAAUAACUCCUCCAGAGGUAGCAUCUCAGUUCAGCACAUCAUAUAAGAUUGAUGCUAAUUCCCAAAAGGAAACCAUCAAAACAUGGAACAAUUUCAAUUCUUUAUUGUAAAAAAACCUUAAUGGACAUUUAAGUGUAGUUAGUGUACAUACAGCUUCAUGUAAACUUAGUAUAAUACUUCAACUGAAUAAUUAUUAAAGUUAUCGAAACCUCUUUUUACAAAGGAUUUGUUUGAAAACGAGUAAUUGCCAAUUCAUGUAUUCAAAUGUAAGUAAACCUAUUUUGUAAAAUUCUCAAUGCUUGUGUCUUUUAUUUUAAAAUAAUUGAUACAUAAAACUUGAGUUCAUCUGGUAUUUUCACAGUUGUAUUGACUCCAAAUAUUUGAUUAUUGUACCAAACAUGUAUUUUACAAAGUAAAUUACAAAAUUUGAUUUCAAUUUGGUAUAUAAUUGUUACAACUAAGAACCCCACCAAUUUUUUGCACCAAUUUGAAAUGUAAUUUUAUGCUGUUUUCAUAAAUAUAUGGUUGUAUUGGGUUAUUUGGAGAGAGAUUUUAGCUUUUCAUAAUUUUCUACGUCAACAUCACAGUUUUGAAAUUAACAGUUUAGUACAGUUUUUCAAUAUGAAUGAACAUUAUAAAUUGUAUUUUGUAGAUACAUCAGUUUCAAUGUUUAAUUUAGAACAAACCAGUGAAAAUUUCAAGGCUCUAGCUUCAAAACUAAUGAUUUUGCUUUAAAUUCUGUAAAAGCGUGCACACUUUAGUUUCAUCUUAAUCACCCUCAGAAAUACAAUUAGCCUAAAACUUUAAAUAGUGAUAACUCAGAAACUACUUGUCAGAAUUGGAUGAAACUUGGAAUAUUUUCUUGUCUUUAUGCAUACAAUUCAAAUAUAAAUUUUCAUAAACAUCUGUGACAAGUGGGUGCAGGGCCCUGCAUGACUUGGUAUGGAAUGGCCCUUUAGCUGUAUUCCAGUGUUUGCUGUGUUUGUUAUUAGAAGUGCAUUAACUAUUGUCACUGAUACAACAGAUUCUGUUUUGUAUUAUAUUAGUCAUUCAGCUAUAAAUAAAUUAUUAUGAAAAUA